GACGUAGGGCGCGAGCGUUGUCCGGAUUUAUUGGGCGUAAAGAGCUCGUAGGCGGCUUGUUGCGUCGACCGUGAAAACCCGUGGCUUAACUGCGGGCUUGCGGUCGAUACGGGCGGGCUGGAGUUCGGUAGGGGAGACUGGAAUUCCUGGUGUAGCGGUGAAAUGCGCAGAUAUCGGGAGGAACACCGGUGGCGAAGGCGGGUCUCUGGGCCGAUACUGACGCUGAGGAGCGAAAGCGUGGGGAGCGAACAGG
Molecule: ribosomal RNA, 253 nt
Filed under: uncultured bacterium
Lineage: Bacteria
Description: partial 16S ribosomal RNA
Rfam family: Bacterial small subunit ribosomal RNA
Source: RNAcentral